AGAAUCAACGCUGGCGGCGUGCCUAACACAUGCAAGUCGAACGAGAAAGUGGGAGCAAUCCCACGAGUAAAGUGGCGCACGGGUGAGUAACACGUGACUAACCUACCCUUGAGUGGGGGAUAACCUAGGGAAACCUGGGCUAAUACCGCAUAAUACCUACGGGUCAAAGGAGCAAUUCGCUUUAGGAGGGGUCGCGGCAGAUUAGUUAGUUGGCGGGGUAAUGGCCCACCAAGACAGUGAUCUGUA
This 246-nucleotide ribosomal RNA is filed under the name uncultured bacterium. Its description in RNAcentral is "partial small subunit ribosomal RNA". It matches the Rfam family "Bacterial small subunit ribosomal RNA", at positions 26 to 285 of the family's 1533-position model. The record is from RNAcentral.